GACAGAUCAUAUGAUCAGCUCAGUACUUAUAUGACCCCCGGACCACCCGGUUGGGGAAUGCUAGGAUGUGCUACCCCGACAGCAAGAUGCAGACUGGGUCAAUAUGACUUUUACGCUUGUCCCAAAGAGGGAAGAGACCGAUCCCAAACAUAUAAAUGUGGAGGUUAUGAAACAUACUUUUGCUCCUCCUGGGGCUGCGAAACUACAGGGGACGCUUACUGGAAACCUUCUUCUGACAAGGAAUUCAUAAAAAUACUUAAAAACUUCACUACCUAUGGCACAGGUCCCUCUGAUUGCUAUCACCCCCCUAAAUCUUACUACCAAGGGGACAAAUCAUUGCCCUUACGGAUACAGUUCACAGAAAGAGGAAAAAAACAACUAGAUCCCUGGCUCACUGGGAGAACAUGGGGCCUUAGAUGGUAUAUGUUAGGAUAUGAUCUCGGUGUAAUUCUCAAAAUCAGACUAUCUCAAACCCCGAUUAUGAUGAGCCCAAUAGGGCCCAAUCCUGUUCUUGGGGACCAAAGAGCUCCCUCAGUUCCCAGACAAUCAAAAAGUCCACCCAAAGUACCCCCCAGUAAGCCGCCCGUGCCUCAAAUUGUAACCAUAGACUAUCAAACCUCUAGUUAUUCCCCCGAACCCACCUUCCCUGGGACCGAGGACCGAUUGUUAGAUUUGAUUCGAGGAGCCUUUUAUGCCCUCAAUGCCACUGACCCAGACCGCACCCGGGAUUGUUGGCUCUGUCUCGCCUCCGGCCCACCCUAUUAUGAAGGAAUAGCAAUAAUGUCUGACUGGAAUAGUAAUAUAAACCCUGAUCCUAAGUGUGUGUCCCUGCCCAGCUAUAAGCUCACCAUCACUGAAGUUUCAGGGCAAGGGAUCUGUGUAGGAAACAUACCCCUGUCACAUAAACCUCUCUCUAAUACUACCCUCCCGACAAAUGGCUCACAAAAUAAUUAUUUGUGGGGCCCCCCCGGAACUUAUUGGGCCUGCAGCAUUGGACUGACCCCCUGUAUUUCCACGGCAGUCCUCAAUGCCUCCACUGAUUUUUGUGUGCUAAUACAACUAUGGCCUAAAAUAUUAUAUCUGGGAUCAGACUAUGUCCUAGGACACCUUGAAGGAUGGAAUCGGUACCCCAGAGAGCCCAUAAGCAUGACUAUAGCACUACUAUUAGGAAUUGGAGGGAUAGCAGCAGGCAUAGGAACAGGGACAACUGCCUAUAUCCAAGGUAACCAAAUGUUGCAAUUACAGGCAGCAAUGAAUGAAGAUUUAACUGCAAUGGCCAAGUCUAUCACUGCCCUAGAAAAAUCCCUCUCUUCCCUCUCCGAAGUGGUGUUACAAAAUAGAAGAGGAUUAGAUCUAUUGUUCCUCAGGGAAGGUGGUCUCUGUGUAGCACUAGGAGAACAAUGUUGCUUUUAUGCUGACCAUACUGGGGUAGUCCGAGAAACUAUGGAAAAGGUUACUGAAAGGCUGGCAAAGAGACAGAAAGAAUUUGAGGCUCAACAAGGAUGGUUUGAACAUUGGUUUAACAAAUCCCCAUGGUUAACUACUUUGCUAUCCACCAUAGCAGGACCUUUAAUUAUUUUGCUGAUAAUCCUGACGUUUGGACCCUGCAUACUCAAUAGAUUGGUGCAGUUUAUGAAAGAAAGACUUUCUGUAAUCCAGGCUAUGGUUCUAACUCAACAAUACCANAAUAGGGUUAGACUUAAUU
Molecule: long non-coding RNA, 1705 nt
Filed under: Marmota monax (woodchuck)
Lineage: Eukaryota; Metazoa; Chordata; Mammalia; Rodentia; Sciuridae
Source: RNAcentral